This 73-nucleotide transfer RNA is filed under the name Planctomycetaceae bacterium. Its description in RNAcentral is "tRNA-Val". It matches the Rfam family "tRNA". Rfam says of the family: Transfer RNA (tRNA) molecules are approximately 80 nucleotides in length. Their secondary structure includes four short double-helical elements and three loops (D, anti-codon, and T loops). Further hydrogen bonds mediate the characteristic L-shaped molecular structure. tRNAs have two regions of fundamental functional importance: the anti-codon, which is responsible for specific mRNA codon recognition, and the 3' end, to which the tRNAs corresponding amino acid is attached (by aminoacyl-tRNA synthetases). tRNAs cope with the degeneracy of the genetic code in two manners: having more than one tRNA (with a specific anti-codon) for a particular amino acid; and 'wobble' base-pairing, i.e. permitting non-standard base-pairing at the 3rd anti-codon position. The record is from RNAcentral. Lineage: Bacteria; Pseudomonadati; Planctomycetota; Planctomycetia; Planctomycetales; Planctomycetaceae. RNAcentral also lists the same sequence under 1 other name.
GGGCGUGUAACUCAGGGGCUAGAGUGCCAUCUUCACACGGUGGAAGUCGCAGGUUCAAAUCCUGCCACGCCCA